AUACGGGGGGGGCUAGCGUUGUUCGGAAUUAUUGGGCGUAAAGGGCGCGCAGGCGGCUUGAUAAGUCAGUUGUGAAAUCCCUCGGCUCAACCGAGGAACUGCAAACGAUACUGUCAGGCUUGAGUCCCGGAGAGGGUAGCGGAAUUCCCAGUGUAGCGGUGAAAUGCGUAGAUAUUGGGAGGAACACCAGUGGCGAAGGCGGCUACCUGGACGGGUACUGACGCUGAGGUACGAAAGCGUGGGGAGCAAACAGGAUUAGAAACCCCAGUAGUCC
Molecule: ribosomal RNA, 274 nt
Filed under: uncultured bacterium
Lineage: Bacteria
Description: partial 16S ribosomal RNA
Rfam family: Bacterial small subunit ribosomal RNA
Source: RNAcentral